AUGGGGAGGCUCAGCACAGGCUGGCAGGGAGCUUUCCGGCUCGCUCUGUGCCAGGGUGGUGGCGGUGGUGGGAUGGCAGUCCUCUUGGCAGCCUGCAGGCAGGGCACUGGGGGGCUGCAUGGGGGAGGCAGCAGGGCCGGGCCAGGUCUGAAGCAGAGCAGUGGUUGGGGGGUCCCAGCUGGGGUCCCAGGCCGAGGGCAGCAGCACCUCGGGGUGCACGGGGUGUCCCGGAGCCAUGUGGAUGCUUCUGGUGCGAGCGCUGUGGGAGAGGCAGGGGGGCGGCCAGGGCAGGGCCCUGUGCUCCGGCCCCCACGGGCAGGGCAGGGACGGCUCAGAGCUGUGACAGCCGCUUGGACUUCGGUGGUGGCGGCGGGGGCGACUUCAGCCCCCUGCUUCCAUCCGCUGUCGGUGACUGGCAGCGCCUGCGAGCAGAGGGGGUGGUUACGGGGGGCAGGAGCCGGGCCGGGCCGGGGCAGGGCUGUGCGGUACCUUCCCCCCGCUGGCAGCAUCGCUCUGCUCCAGGAAGGCCUCGUACACCGUGGGGCUGAUCCUGCGGGGCAGCGGCGGGGCCUUGCUCGCGCUCUUCACACGGCCGCCGAAGCCCGUGGGGGACGGGGACAGCGCUGUGGAGGAAGGCGGGCUGGGCAGUGUGGCCAGCACAGCACCAGGGGGGCCCAGGCCUGCUCUGGGGGCCCUGGGCUGCCCGUGGCCACCCCUGGGAGUGAGGGCCCAGUGCUGAGGGGCUGGGGCUGUGGCCCUGCUCUCAGGGGUUGGACGUCAACGGGGCUGUGGGGGUGGGGAGGUGCCCCCCGGCUGCAGGGGAUGGGAAGGCUGCGGGGCUGGGGGUACCUGCGGGGCUGGGGGUACCUGCGGGGCUGGGGGUACCUGCGGGGCUGGGGGUACCUGCGGUGCUGGGCUCACGGCUCGGUGGCGGCUGUUUCGCGUCGCAGCUGCCCAGGCUGCUCUCGCUCAUGUUGCGGGACAGUCUCCGCUUGUCAUCCUGGGGCAAGGAGAGGGGGCUCAGUGCCCGGGGGGCAGGACCACGGCCCGGGAGCGCAGGAGCCUCUGGCAGGGCACGAUGCUCCCCAGCCCCCUGUCUGCAGGGCUCUGGGCCCCGCACGCCUCCCGCUCUGCCCCUGCUCCCCUCCAUCAGCCCGGAGCGAGCAGGGAGGCUGCAGGGCUGUGCCGGGCACCAUCACCUUGGGCUCUGGCAGCUCCGGGACAGACAGGCGCGUCUCCUGCCGCCAGUACCCAAAGAAGGUGCUGGAGCGGUUCUCCUUGCGCUCGCUCCUGCGGUCCUCACCCUCGGCAGUGCGCGGGGCAGGCUUUGGGGUUCGGGGGUGCCUCCGUGCUGCAGAGAGACCGGGGUUGGUGAGCGGCCAGUGCAGGGGAGUGGGAGCAGGGGCCAUGCUGCUCACCAGCCGGGCCACAACCAGGCACGGCCGACCCUGGCAGAAGCUCAGCAGCGGGUGGGACCUCAGUGCUUGA
Molecule: long non-coding RNA, 1488 nt
Filed under: Anas platyrhynchos (mallard)
Lineage: Eukaryota; Metazoa; Chordata; Aves; Anseriformes; Anatidae
Description: lncRNA (ENSAPLG00020010199.1)
Source: RNAcentral